CCCGCACAAGCGGUGGAGCAUGUGGUUUAAUUCGAUGAUACGCGAGGAACCUUACCUGGGCUCAAAUGUAUGUUGACGUAUUCUGAAAGGGAUACUUCUUCGGACAAUAUACAAGGUGCUGCAUGGUUGUCGUCAGCUCGUGCCGUGAGGUGUCGGGUUAAGUCCCAUAACGAGCGCAACCCCUAUCAUUAGUUGCCAUCAGGUCAAGCUGGGGACUCUAAUGAAACUGCCUACGCAAGUAGUGAGGAAGGUGGGGAUGACGUCAAAUCAGCACGGCCCUUACGUCCAGGGCUACACACGUGCUACAAUGGCCGGUACAAAGGGCAGCUACCUGGUGACAGGAUGCUAAUCUCAAAAGCCGGUCUCAGUUCGGAUCGGAGUCUGCAACCCGACUCCGUGAAGCUGGAAUUGCUAGUAAUCGCGCAUCAGCCAUGGCGCGGUGAAUACGUUCCCGGGCCUU
This 460-nucleotide ribosomal RNA is filed under the name uncultured Sphingobacteriales bacterium. Its description in RNAcentral is "bacterial SSU rRNA". It matches the Rfam family "Bacterial small subunit ribosomal RNA", at positions 920 to 1382 of the family's 1533-position model. Lineage: Bacteria; Pseudomonadati; Bacteroidota; Sphingobacteriia; Sphingobacteriales. The record is from RNAcentral.